AAUAACAAGUUUGCCAUUGGAUU
RNAcentral lists this non-coding RNA (23 nucleotides) under Arabidopsis thaliana (thale cress). Lineage: Eukaryota; Viridiplantae; Streptophyta; Magnoliopsida; Brassicales; Brassicaceae. The record is from RNAcentral.